ACGCUCGACACCUACGGAGGCAGCAGUGAGGAAUAUUGGUCAAUGGGCGCUAGCCUGAACCAGCCAAGUAGCGUGAAGGAUGAAGGCUCUAUGGGUCGUAAACUUCUUUUAUAUAAGAAUAAAGUGCAGUAUGUAUACUGUUUUGUAUGUAUUAUAUGAAUAAGGAUCGGCUAACUCUGUGCUAGCAGCCGCGGUAAUCUGAGCGGGCUGGCAAGGC
This 217-nucleotide ribosomal RNA is filed under the name uncultured bacterium. RNAcentral describes it as "partial 16S ribosomal RNA". It matches the Rfam family "Bacterial small subunit ribosomal RNA", at positions 328 to 539 of the family's 1533-position model. The record is from RNAcentral.